GUCCAUAAAAGUAUUCUGAAUGAAAAGUUCUGAAGGGGAGAACACAAAGCAGGUUGCGCUACGAAGUAUAAAAAACAGUUUGACCCACCUUUGACCGACCAAGGCUGAAAAUCAAUUUGAGAAGUGCAGAAGAUAAUUUUUUUACACACAUGUGCCCCAAUGAUAUCAUCACUAAUAUACAUAUACAUCACCAGCAUAUACUCCUCACAUAACUCAUACAUGACUACAUGUUACUACAUAAGUUAGAUAUAACUAUAUAUUACUACAAGUUAGUAUGUUACUACAUAGGUUAUAUAUAACUAUAUAUUACUAUACGUGAUCAUAUAUGACUACCAAAAGAUUCAUAUCAUAAUAGAGCUUCAGGAAUUAUUAUCAAGGAUAAUAAGUAAUUUUUUUGGAGUUGUUAUAAACAUUGGUUCAAAAGCAGCAAACUC
Molecule: long non-coding RNA, 434 nt
Filed under: Erythranthe guttata (spotted monkey flower)
Lineage: Eukaryota; Viridiplantae; Streptophyta; Magnoliopsida; Lamiales; Phrymaceae
Description: long non-coding RNA (EGUT_LNC000431)
Source: RNAcentral